This 485-nucleotide ribosomal RNA is filed under the name uncultured bacterium. RNAcentral's name for it is "partial 16S ribosomal RNA". It matches the Rfam family "Bacterial small subunit ribosomal RNA", at positions 29 to 523 of the family's 1533-position model. The record is from RNAcentral.
AGUGAACGCUGGCGGCGUGCUUAACACAUGCAAGUCGAACGAGAACGGAAUAUAGCUUGCUAUAUUUGUCAGCUAAGUGGCGCACGGGUGAGUAAUGUAUAGAUAACCUGCCCUUAAGAAAGGAAUAACAGUUGGAAACGACUGCUAAUGCCCUAUAUGCCUUUAAUACAUAAGUAUGCAAGGGAAACGCUUUAGUGCUUAAGGAUGGGUCUGUAUGGUAUCAGCUUGUUGGUGAGGUAAUGGCCCACCAAGGCUAUGACGCCUAACUGGUUUGAGAGGAUGAUCAGUCACACUGGAACUGAGACACGGUCCAGACUCCUACGGGAGGCAGCAGUGGGGAAUAUUGCACAAUGGGCGAAAGUCUGAUGCAGCAACGCCGCGUGGAGGAUGACACAUUUCGGUGCGUAAACUCCUUUUAUAUAGGAAGAUAAUGACGGUACUAUAUGAAUAAGCACCGGCUAACUCCGUGCCAGCAGCCGCCGUAA